This 1414-nucleotide ribosomal RNA is filed under the name Fasciola hepatica (liver fluke). RNAcentral's name for it is "SSU rRNA". It matches the Rfam family "Eukaryotic small subunit ribosomal RNA", at positions 639 to 1831 of the family's 1831-position model. Lineage: Eukaryota; Metazoa; Platyhelminthes; Trematoda; Plagiorchiida; Fasciolidae. The record is from RNAcentral.
AUUCAGUUGGCCCACUUCAACGGUGGACCUUCUAAAUAUACCUGCCAGCGAAUGAUGCAGGUGGAUAUUAGUCCUCCAUCAGGAGACGGAUUACUUGAGAAGGUACACAGAUAGGUUGUCUCCAUCNCGCAUGGCUACAUGCCGUCGCUCGUGGGUCUGGCCUGGUUACUGCCGGGUUGAGCUUGCGAGUCGGUCUCGUGGUUGUGCUUCCUUUCUGCUGUGUCUGUUUACAGGUGUCAGCGUGACUGGUGGGCUUGCCUGCUAGUCUGUUGGCAUGCUUCUUGGUGCCUUUAAUCGGGUGUCGGAGGCGGACAGCACGUUUACUUUGAACAAAUUUGAGUGCUCAAAGCAGGCCUUUGUGCCUGAAAAUUCUUGCAUGGAAUAAUGGAAUAGGACUUCGGUUCUAUUUUGUUGGUUUUCGGAUCCGAAGUAAUGGUUAAGAGGGACAGACGGGGGCAUUUGUAUGGCGGUGUUAGAGGUGAAAUUCUUGGAUCGCCGCCAGACAAACUACAGCGAAAGCAUUUGCCAAGGAUGUUUUCAUUGAUCUUGAGCGAAAGUCAGAGGUUCGAAGACGAUCAGAUACCGUCCUAGUUCUGACCAUAAACGAUGCCAACUGACGAUCCGUGGUGGUUCUUUAUGUGUCCCCACGGGCAGUCCCCGGGAAACCCUUAAGUCUUUGGGCUCCGGGGGAAGUAUGGUUGCAAAGCUGAAACUUAAAGGAAUUGACGGAAGGGCACCACCAGGAGUGGAGCCUGCGGCUUAAUUCGACUCAACACGGGAAAACUCACCCGGCCCGGACACUGUGAGGAUUGACAGAUUGAUAGCUCUUUCUUGAUUCGGUGGUUGGUGGUGCAUGGCCGUUCUUAGUUGGUGGAGCGAUUUGUCUGGUUAAUUCCGAUAACGAACGAGACUCUGGCCUGCUAAAUAGUAUGCCUGUCCUCUGUGCUCGUGCAGGUUGCGUUGUCCAUUGCCUCCUCGUGGGGUAGUGGUUACGUUGACCGGCGGGUGCGGCGCAGGUACUUACUUCUUAGAGGGACAAGCGGUAUUCAGUCGCACGAAAUUGAGCAAUAACAGGUCUGUGAUGCCCUUAGAUGUCCGGGGCCGCACGUGCGCUACAAUGACGGUUUCAGCGAGUUUGGAAUCCUGGCCUGAGCAGGUUGGGUAAACUGUAUCAUAACCGUCGGGACUGGGAUCGGGGCUUGCAAUUGUUCCCCGUGAACGAGGAAUUCCUGGUAAGUGCAAGUCAUAAGCUUGCGCUGAUUACGUCCCUGCCUCGUGGCAUAGAUCUUUUCUCGGGCAAUAAACUGUCUGACUUGGAAUACUUGGAGGAUAUUUUUCUUCUGAGUGGAGAUCCAGGUAAGUUGCAAGAUCUCUUAGAUAGCCUUAACAACAGUGUAGCAAUGUUUGGGAUGCG